Molecule: transfer RNA, 93 nt
Filed under: Mycobacteroides abscessus subsp. abscessus
Lineage: Bacteria; Bacillati; Actinomycetota; Actinomycetes; Mycobacteriales; Mycobacteriaceae
Description: tRNA-Asn(gtt)
Source: RNAcentral
UGCUGUUGCUGGGCGGGCGUGCAAGCGACUUGUUCGGUCGCCGCAGGGUGUUCCUGGUGGCACUGGGCGUGUUCGGCGUCGCGUCUGUCGCAA